This 28-nucleotide non-coding RNA is filed under the name Rattus norvegicus (Norway rat). The record is from RNAcentral. Lineage: Eukaryota; Metazoa; Chordata; Mammalia; Rodentia; Muridae.
AGGAAAACUGAGUCCGAGAGGUACAAGU